GUUAUCUUCACCGGAAGCUGGUUAGCUGCACGCGCUGAACCGGACAGAAGGAACCUUCAACAGACGGCAAGAUGGCGACCAGAGCAGAAAUAAGGGCAAGAGGAGAAGGAGGAGGAGCAGCCUGCAGCAGUGAAGGAGGAAGAGGAGGAGGAGGAGGAGGAGGAGGAGGAGUACGUGGUGGAGAAGGUGUUGGACCGCAGAGUGGUGAAGGGAAGAGUAGAGUUCCUGCUGAAAUGGAAGGGGUUCUCAGAUGAGGAGAACACAUGGGAGCCACAAGACCACCUGGACCUGGACCUGAUCACCGAGUACCUGCAGGACCACAAGGAGACGGAGG
Long non-coding RNA from Etheostoma spectabile (orangethroat darter), 334 nucleotides. RefSeq lists it as uncharacterized. The transcript is spliced from 3 exons. The record is from RefSeq and is a predicted model, not a curated record. NCBI's taxonomy places the organism in Eukaryota, Metazoa, Chordata, Actinopteri, Perciformes, Percidae.